GACGAACGCUGGCGGCGUGCUUAACACAUGCAAGUCGAACGGAAAGGCCCUGCUUUUGUGGGUUGCUCGAGUGGCGAACGGGUGAGUAACACGUGAGUAACCUGCCCUUGACUUUGGGAUAACUCUAGGAAACUGGGGCUAAUACCGGAUAGGACCUCCUGCUGCACGGUGGGGGUUGGAAAGUUUCGGCGGUUGGGGAUGGACUCGCGGCUUAUCAGUUUGUUGGGGGGGUAGUGGCUUACCAAGGCUUUGACGGGUAGCCGGCCUUGGAGGGUGGCCGGCGACAUGGGGACUGAGAUACGGCCCAGACUCCUACGGGAGGCAGCAGUGGGGAAUAUUGCACAAUGGGCGGAAGCCUGAUGCAGCAACGCCGCGUGCGGGAUGACGACCUUCGGGGUGUAAACCGCUUUCGCCUGUGACGAAGCGUGAGUGACGGUAAUGGGUAAAGAAGCACCGGCUAACUACGUG
Molecule: ribosomal RNA, 468 nt
Filed under: uncultured bacterium
Lineage: Bacteria
Description: partial 16S ribosomal RNA
Rfam family: Bacterial small subunit ribosomal RNA
Source: RNAcentral